This is a long non-coding RNA of Drosophila ananassae, 240 nucleotides long. RefSeq lists it as uncharacterized. The transcript has 2 exons. Lineage: Eukaryota; Metazoa; Arthropoda; Insecta; Diptera; Drosophilidae. The record is from RefSeq and is a predicted model, not a curated record.
AGGUUAUAUUGUAUUUGAGUACUAAGGAUAAAAGCUGCGCGGAAAAGAACUAAUAUUUUGCCAGAAAGUGCACUACUGAUACCGCAAUGAGGACAACCACUCAGGCAGCUGUUUUCGGCUUGUUGAGCCUUCGUCAGCACCUUCAGCUGCAGCUGGUGGAGAGCUGGAGCUCUUGGAGCAGCCAACAUGUUGUAUGCGUAUUAUAAGGAGUCCACAAUAAAUUACGUGUCAAUUACAAGA